RNAcentral lists this long non-coding RNA (1666 nucleotides) under Mytilus galloprovincialis (Mediterranean mussel). The record is from RNAcentral. Lineage: Eukaryota; Metazoa; Mollusca; Bivalvia; Mytilida; Mytilidae.
GGGGACUCAAAUAAAAACAUUCCAGGGUUAUACGGUUAACGGUUUAUGAGUUUAAAAAAACAUACCGACAAAUUUAUUCCGUAAAGGUAGAUAACUCCUAUAAAAUUUCAUCGAAUCGCUUCGAUCCAAAUACGCCAAAAAUUACUGAGGAUGUAACGAACAAUUUGUAAAAAGAAUUUUGUCGCUAUCUUUUUUUGUUACGAAGGAGAUGCACACACAUGAUAAACAGUGAAUAGGGAGAUAACUCUUACAAAGAAAAUGGUUCGGCUUAGCAGGGUGAAAUUUAAAAGCGCAUAAACUAUACGAUACAAUAUGAGAAAUAUCUAAGCGACAUAUUGCGAAACAAACAUUUAUCGCAAGAACAAAAUUUGGCGGAAAAAAAAAAAAAAAAUAAUAAUAAUUAAAAACCAAUUGUUCAGAGAACAAUUGAAAGUCUUUCCACACCAAAGAAAUUUGGAUAAGAAGGUAGUUUCUUCAUACUGAUGCGAUAAAUAAUGGUUUAAUUAUAUUUUUGAGUGAUAUAAGGGAGAUAAUAUGCUACUUCCGGUGAAAUGAAUGUCACUUCCGGUCUCAUAUGAUAGCUUCUUUCACACUGAUUCCAAAAAUAUAUAGUUUCUAUAUACUUUUGUAUGUAGAAUGGGAGAUAAUUGGCCACUUCCGGUUUGUUGGAAGUCAUUUUUAGUCUUCAGUAAUCUGUUUAUGUAUCUAUAUGACAAAAUAUAUGGAUUCUGAGUACUUUUAUGUGAAAAAAUUGCAAAAAAAGCUACUUCCGGUUUUCUCAAAGGUCACUUCCGGUAGCCAUUUUUCAAGGUCAUUUGUCACUUAACCUUUUGUAUAAGGUCAAAUGUCUUUAUAAUGAACUUAAUUGAAGUUAUAAUCAAAUAACCUCAUAUCAAGACAUUUCAGGGGCACCAACUCCUAUAAGAUGCCAUUUAAUUGUAUAAGACUAAAUGUAGCAUAUCUUCAUUACAAUAAAGCUGACAUUUUGCACUUGUUCUUUUAUAUGUAUCUCUCAAAGUGUCAGAGAAAAUGCAAAAACAAGCAAAAGUCACAAUUGAGAACUUGACCUUGACCUUUGACCUUGACCUCAUUUUCUAAGUUAGGACCUAGGGGACUCAAAUAAAAACAUUCCAGGGUUAUACGGUUAACUGUUUAUGAGUUAAAAAAACAUACCGACAAAUUUAUUUUGUAAAGGUAGAUAACUCCUAUAAAAAUUUCAUCGAAUCGCUUCGAUCCAAAUACGCCAAAAAUUACUGAGGAUGUAACGAACAAUUUGUAAAAAGAAUUUUGUCGCUAUCUUUUUUUGUUACGAAGGAGAUGCACACAGAUGAUAAACAGUGAAUAGGGAGAUAACUCUUACAAAGAAAAUGGUUCGGCUUAGCAGGGUGAAAUUUAAAAGCGCAUAAACUAUACGAUACAAUAUGAGAAAUAUCUAAGCGACAUAUUGCGAAACAAACAUUUAUCGCAAGAACAAAAUUUGGCGGAAAAAAAAAAAAUAAUAAUAAUAAUCAGAAGAAAAACAAUAAGUCUUUCCACAGAAAAGUGAAAAGACUUAAUAAUCAGAACAAAACAAUAAGUCUUUCCACAGAAAAGUGGAAAGACUUAAUAAUCAGAACAAAAACAAUAAGUCUUUCCACAGAAAAGUGGAAAGACUUAAUAAUCAGAA